CGAUCCGUCAUAUAAGCCGAGGACGUGAUGUGGAGCGAAAUUUAGUAGUGAAGUAUGUGAGCCAUGUGCCGAGAAAAGCCGCUAUUGUUUUAUAUGUGCCCGUACCGUAAACCGACACAGGUGGAUGAGGAGAAAAUCCUAAGGCCGACGGAAGAAGCAUUGUUAAGGAAUUCGGCAAAAUGACCCCGUAACUUCGGGAGAAGGGGUGCCCACUGAAUGGUGGGCCGCAGAGGAUAGGCUCAAGCAACUGUUUAGCAAAAACACAGGUCUAUGCGAAACCGAAAGGUGAAGUAUAUGGGCUGACGCCUGCCCGGUGCUGGAAGGUUAAGAGGAGAGGUUAGCGUAAGCGAAGCUUUGAAUUUAAGCCCCAGUAAACGGCGGCCGUAACGAUAACGGUCCUAAGGUAGCGAAAUUCCUUGUCGGGUAAGUUCCGACCCGCACGAAAGGCGUAAUGAUUUGAGCACUGUCUCGACAAUGCAUCCGGUGAAAUUGAAGUACCAGUGAAGAUGCUGGUUACCCGCGCCAGGACGGAAAGACCCCAUGGAGCUUUACUCCAGUUUGAUACUGGGAUUCGGUACUGCACGUACAGGAUAGGUGGGAGACUGAGAACUAUGGACGCCAGUCUGUAGGGAGUCGCUGUUGGGAUACCACCCCUGUAGUACUGGGUUUCUAACCAUCUGCCGUGAUCCGGCAGUGGGACAAUGUCAGGCGGGGAGUUUGACUGGGGCGGUCGCCUCCGAAAGGGUAUCGGAGGCGCUCAAAGGUUCCCUCAGAAUGGUCGGAAACCAUUUGAAGAGUGCAAAGGCAGAAGGGAGCUUGACUGCGACACCGACGGGUGGAGCAGGUACGAAAGUAGGACUUAGUGAUCCGGUGGUAUAAAGUGGGAUUGCCAUCGCUCAACGGAUAAAAGCUACCCUGGGAUAACAGGCUUAUCACUCCCAAGAGUUCACAUCGACGGAGUGGUUUGGCACCUCGAUGUCGGCUCAUCGCAUCCUGGGGCUGUAGCAGGUCCCAAGGGUUGGGCUGUUCGCCCAUUAAAGCGGUACGCGAGCUGGGUUCAGAACGUCGUGAGACAGUUCGGUCCCUAUCCGGCGCGGGCGGAGGAUAUUUGAGAGGAGCUGUCCUUAGUACGAGAGGACCGGGAUGGACGGACCACUGGUGUAUCUGUUGUCGACCAACGGCAUGGCAGAGUAGCCAAGUCCGGAAGGGAUAAACGCUGAAGGCAUCUAAGCGUGAAGCCCCCCUCAAGAUGAGAUAUCCCUCCUUCGGGAGUAAGACCCCUUGAAGACUACAAGGUAGAUAGGGCAGAGGUGGAAGUGUGGCAACACAUGGAGCUGACUGUUACUAAUAGGUCGAGGGCUUGAU
RNAcentral lists this ribosomal RNA (1365 nucleotides) under metagenome. RNAcentral's name for it is "bacterial LSU rRNA". It matches the Rfam family "Bacterial large subunit ribosomal RNA", at positions 1538 to 2925 of the family's 2925-position model. The record is from RNAcentral.